GUCCAUUAGCUUCUGAUGGUUCGUGUGGAUGUGUGCAUGAGAGGUACAUGGACAGUGGUUCUGAGCAUAGUCUGCCCAACGUCUUGCCUUUUAAAGCUGUUUCUCGGGAGUUUGUGGACAAUCUCACCGGUGCAGAGCAUCUGCUGUCUGUGUUGCAUUUGGAAGUUAAGUAUUCCCCCGUGGCUGCAGUGCGGAGUGCUCAGGUUUCUUCUGAAAGAGGCCUAAGAAAGGGGGAUUGUGUGUUCCUCCUACACAGGUCAGCACAGUCGCAGCAAAUGGCAGUACCAGGGAGCAAACCACACCUCUCUUGCUCUCUUCAUGCUCCUCAUCCUGCGGUUGAGCCAGGACGGAGCACGAUGCCAUCAUUUCCAGGACCCGGCCUUUCUCCCCUGCUGUCUGUCUCUCCCCAUUUGGUGGAGUGUGAUCUGCAGAACGUGUGCUCGGCAGCAAUCCUGUUAGGUUAGCAGCGUGUGGAGGAGAACGUGGCCGUGGUUUGCACCCGCAACUGCUAAGCAGUCAGUAAAGGGAAGGGGAAAUGAGCAGGACGUCAGCCUUGCAUUUGUGCUGCAGGGAUGGUUGCCUAACGAGCACCGAGGCUCGUUUCCUGUGAGGUGACGCAUGUGCUGCUCCGAGUGCCUGGGCUCAUCCUCGGGACAAAUGUGCUGAAAGCAGCCAGCACGUGGCUUCCAGUCUCGUUUGGUGUGGGUGAGCCUGUGCAAGCUUGUAGGUGCUCACGUCUUCUCACAGUCACUGAGUGCUGCUCCCUGGAGCUGACUCUCCCGUGUCUUGUCCGAAAAGACCCUGAAGAGCAGCCGCUAGCAGCGUUCCCCGUAUCUGCUGAAAGGCAGCAUCUGUUUUGCUGCGCUGCUCCGUGUAGAAGGUGCAAGUAAUUUGCAAGCUGAAGAGAACCUUCCAGAAACAGAAGGUUAUCUUGGUUCGGGGAGGGAUCUGGCUUGUAAAACCUCUUCUAUCGUAUUUUACAGAUGAGACAGUGACCCGAAAUGCGCAGGGUUCUGCUUUUAUUUCACUGCGAAGGUAGGGCUUCCCAGUGCUCCGUAACGCAUCGAGACAUGCAGGCACUGGUGACUCAUCUGGGAGAGUUGCUGCUGCUAUUUACUGUCGCACACCUGGGUGUUUGGGAGGUCUCCAGACAGUGCCACAAACCCUUUCAUAGCUUCCAUGGGAUCACGCGCUGCAGUGGGAGAGGCUUCUUGCUUUAGUUGCGUCUAGACUCUUACUUCAGUGCUUGUGACCAGAGGUUUCUUGCCUAGCCAGAGCCCCUUGUGGCUCUUUUCGUUGCAUCAAAUGUUUGCUCCUUGGUUUCCCUGACGUGUCGCAAGUUUGUAUUGGAGCUUUUGGUACCAACGAGGAUAACAAACUUGUACGCACGGCUUCUGCUCAGUGACUAGUGGGGGACUGAAGUGCCAAAAUCUAGAGCUGUUCAGUUGAGCAGCUGAAUCCUCUUCCAUAGGCUUUCCCGUUAGGGUCCUUCAAGCUGCCAGUUUCUUUUUUGACCCAGGGGCCCCAUAAUCCUUGCUGACAAUUUAUACUGCAUGAUGGGUGUCUCCAGAUUUCCCCUGCUUGUGCUGGAUAUUAAGGAAGUGUUGAAGCAAGGAAGGUGGCACCGUGAGGCCUGAUCAAUGCAGGACUCGGUUAAGGUGCUGUGGAAGAAGUAACCGUGUCACAAGGAAGUGCCUCGUUUCCUCUUUAAUGCAAGCAAGGGGAUGGGGCAACUGACCGAGCUCUCUUUUCUCCCCACGUUUCUCCUUUCUUUUUCAUUUCUUUUUCAUCGUUUCCUCAAGUAGGUGGUCAGGACGUGUAGUGCUGCAGCCAAGAGGAUGUUGGAGCUCUGGAAGAGGAGAACUGUUGGAGGAGGAAGCCCAGAGCCGUUGGGCCCUGAGAGAUCUGAGCGACUGGGAUUUCUCAAUCCUUAACCGCAGAAAUGAGGAAGAGGAACAGUAGAAGGUGGAGGUGAUUCCAGUCUGCUGUUGGAAGAGCUGUUCAGUGGAUAGAGAG
Long non-coding RNA from Cygnus olor (mute swan), 2016 nucleotides. RefSeq lists it as uncharacterized. The record is from RefSeq and is a predicted model, not a curated record. The transcript has 2 exons. Lineage: Eukaryota; Metazoa; Chordata; Aves; Anseriformes; Anatidae.